This 484-nucleotide ribosomal RNA is filed under the name uncultured bacterium. Its description in RNAcentral is "partial 16S ribosomal RNA". It matches the Rfam family "Bacterial small subunit ribosomal RNA", at positions 30 to 507 of the family's 1533-position model. The record is from RNAcentral.
AUUGAACGCUGGCGGCAGGCCUAACACAUGCAAGUCGAGCGGAUGAAGGGAGCUUGCUCCUGGAUUCAGCGGCGGACGGGUGAGUAAUGCCUAGGAAUCUGCCUGGUAGUGGGGGAUAACGUCCGGAAACGGGCGCUAAUACCGCAUACGUCCUGAGGGAGAAAGUGGGGGAUCUUCGGACCUCACGCUAUCAGAUGAGCCUAGGUCGGAUUAGCUAGUUGGUGGGGUAAAGGCCUACCAAGGCGACGAUCCGUAACUGGUCUGAGAGGAUGAUCCGUCACACUGGAACUGAGAAACGGUCGAGAAUCCUACGGGAGGCAGCAGUGGGGAAUAUUGGACAUGGGGCGAAAGCCUGAUCCAGCCAUGCCGCGUGUGUGAAGAAGGUCUUCGGAUUGUAAAGCACUUUAAGUUGGGACGAAGGGCAGUAAGUUAAUACCUUCCUGUUUUGACGUUACCAUCAGAAUAAGCACCGGCUAACUUCGUG